ACGGCCAUACCAUGCUGAAUAUAUCGUUUCUCGUUCGAUCACCGAAGUCAAGCAUCUUAGGGCACGGUCAAAACUUAGGAGGGUGACCACCUGGGAGCACCGCGUACCGUU
Non-coding RNA from Caerostris extrusa, 111 nucleotides. Lineage: Eukaryota; Metazoa; Arthropoda; Arachnida; Araneae; Araneidae. The record is from the annotation of a GenBank genome assembly.